ACGAACGCUGGCGGCAUGCCUAACACAUGCAAGUCGAACGAGACCUUCGGGUCUAGUGGCGCACGGGUGCGUAACGCGUGGGAACCUGCCCUUAGGUUCGGAAUAACUCCCCGAAAGGGGUGCUAAUACCGGAUAAUGUCUUCGGACCAAAGAUUUAUCGCCUUUGGAUGGGCCCGCGUUGGAUUAGCUAGUUGGUAGGGUAAAAGCCUACCAAGGCGACGAUCCAUAGCUGGUCUGAGAGGAUGAUCAGCCACACUGGGACUGAGACACGGCCCAGACUCCUACGGGAGGCAGCAGUGGGGAAUAUUGGACAAUGGGCGAAAGCCUGAUCCAGCAAUGCCGCGUGAGUGAUGAAGGCCUUAGGGUUGUAAAGCUCUUUUACCCGGGAUGAUAAUGACGGUACCGGGAGAAUAAGCUCCGGCUAACUCCGUG
This 432-nucleotide ribosomal RNA is filed under the name uncultured bacterium. Its description in RNAcentral is "partial 16S ribosomal RNA". It matches the Rfam family "Bacterial small subunit ribosomal RNA", at positions 29 to 507 of the family's 1533-position model. The record is from RNAcentral.